Molecule: ribosomal RNA, 491 nt
Filed under: uncultured bacterium
Lineage: Bacteria
Description: partial 16S ribosomal RNA
Rfam family: Bacterial small subunit ribosomal RNA
Source: RNAcentral
AGUGAACGCUGGCGGUAGGCCUAACACAUGCAAGUCGAACGGCAGCACAGUAAGAGCUUGCUCUUACGGGUGGCGAGUGGCGGACGGGUGAGGAAUACAUCGGAAUCUACUUUUUCGUGGGGGAUAACGUAGGGAAACUUACGCUAAUACCGCAUACGACCUACGGGUGAAAGCAGGGGAUCUUCGGACCUUUCGCGAUUGAAUGAGCCGAUGUCGGAUUAGCUAGUUGGCGGGGUAAAGGCCCACCAAGGCGACGAUCCGUAGCUGGUCUGAGAGGAUGAUCAGCCACACUGGAACUGAGACACGGUCCAGACUCCGACGGGAGGCAGCAGUGGGGAAUAUUGGACAAUGGGCGCAAGCCUGAUCCAGCCAUACCGCGUGGGUGAAGAAGGCCUUCGGGUUGUAAAGCCCUUUUGUUGGGAAAGAAAAGCAGCAGGUUAAUACCCCGCUGUUCUGACGGUACCCAAAGAAUAAGCACCGGCUAACUUCGU